RNAcentral lists this microRNA precursor (102 nucleotides) under Marmota monax (woodchuck). The record is from RNAcentral. Lineage: Eukaryota; Metazoa; Chordata; Mammalia; Rodentia; Sciuridae.
AUUAUAAUUGUUGGGUCAUAUGAUAGUUGCCUAUUAGAUUUGUAAGAAACUGACAAAUGGUUUGCUAGAAUGGCCAUACCAUUUUACAUUCCCACCAGCAAC